This is a long non-coding RNA of Formica exsecta, 1641 nucleotides long. RefSeq lists it as uncharacterized. NCBI's taxonomy places the organism in Eukaryota, Metazoa, Arthropoda, Insecta, Hymenoptera, Formicidae. The record is from RefSeq and is a predicted model, not a curated record. The transcript has 3 exons.
UCUUGAAUCAAAACAAACAGUUGCACAAAAUUAGAAAGACAGAUAUUUUUCUCAUUUAUUUCGUAUUAAAUAUUUUUAAUAAGCUUAAUUGCCUCAAGGUGCAUCAUUUAUACUGUGCUAUACAAUAUAUAUAUUCAUUCCUAACCGAAUCUACAUGCGUUGAAUAUUGACAUUUCGUGACGUUUAACUUACACGUUUCGAAGGCUUUAAUUCGGUGACAUAAUCUCUAAUGACAUUAUACAAGUUCUUAUGUAAUAGAGAGCAUUAUGUCAGUUUUAACAGAUAAAAAUGGCAUGAGAACAUCUGAAUCGCAAUUAAUUGUCUUGCUUCAUAUUCAUCUCUUUGCCACUUUCUUAUUCCUUAUACAAACUAAAAUAGUAAUCCCUACUCAAUUAUUUUUAUGAGAUGAUAAAUUUUUUUCAAAUAUUUAAUAAUUUUUCACUUCUUCGGUAAAAAAAAAAAGCGAGUUUACGUGUUUGUAAGGAAUAAGAAAGUGGCAAAGAGAUGAAUAUGAAACGAAACAAUUAAUUGCGAUUGAGAUUGUUCUAUGUAUGUAUGGCAGCAAUAGAAGUUGUAUAUAUAAUUAUUUUCAUUAAGAACUGUUUAUCCAAUUCGACUGGUUAGAUUACCUCUAUUAAUACGCAUUACGACACCUUUUGUACUUUGAAUUUGCAAUAUCUCGUGAAAUUUAUUAAUGUUAUACUGCUAUACCAAAAUCAUUCUAGUAAAAUAAAAAUAAUUUUCAAAUUUCAUUAUGUUGUAAUGUAAUAAUAAAGUAAAAUUUAAACAUUUUUAUAUUUAAUAUAUACACAACUCACAAUCAGACAACGCUGACAAAACAUGUAUAAAUGUAUAAUUUAUAAAUAUACAAGAUGUAAUUUAAAUAUUAGAAUAGUAAAUGAGACUGAUAUCACAACAAAAGAAAUAUUACAAUGUGCAAUAUAUGAGAAUUUUUCUAAAAUUUUCAGAAUAAUUAUUGCGAAAGAGAGAGAGAGAGAGAGAGAGAGAGAGAGAGAAACACCAGACCAUUAAAAAAAAAAAUUUGCUAUGUGUAUUCACAUAUCUAUAUUGUUCAUAUUAUCAUAGAUCGCGGCAUCUCUUUAUGACUUUUCACGAUUCAAGUGUCAACGAAUGGCGAUAAUUAUCGCCAUGUGGCCCUCACCAUGUGUUUGGCCAUCGUUAUGUACGUCGCCACCGGGGCAUUCAGUAUAAUCCAGCAGUUCUUCUCGAUGAUCAGCGUGUUCCUAUUAACUUUGCUAGGUAGAGCAAUUUUAUUAGUUGGUCACAUAACGACAGGAGAUAUCCCCAGAAGACGUCAAAUUGUCAAUGAAAGAAGAGAAUUAUAUACAGAUUCAGAGGAGGAUCGCGUCACCAUGAGUGGAGCAUCCUUGAAGUCGAGGCAUUCUUUCGAACAAGAUCUGUCACCGUAAAGACGAGUCGUUCGAUCCAAAAGACCUCUGUCUCUGUUUAAUACAUAUCAUCAUCUAGAUCGGCAUUGUUUCAACUAAUAUUACAUAACUCGAAUUUGUAUGCCAGUAUGUGUAUUGAUUAUAUGAAAUAUUACGCAAGAAAUGGGCCGAAAAUAUUGCGUAUAUCCAUAUUUCAAAAAUACAAGAAUAUAAAUUAUAUACUCUAAGACAU